GAGCUUAUAAGCCCCAUCGGCCCCUCUCUGGAAACAGUCGUUGUGCCUUUGUAAGCGGGAGCUGAAGUCGCUGGAGCGCUAUUCGGCGUCAGUGAGUCAGCUCGUCGACGGGAGACCGAGAGAAAGGCCUUCCUCCCCGCUGCAACCACGAACCUCUCCGAGGUACUGUGGACCGGGACAUCGCGAGACAAGCAGAGUGAGUCGGAGUGAGAUCCGAGCAGGCCGCCGCGACCGGCACCACCGCCACCCCGCCACCUCAGCCCGCGCAGCCCGCGCCCCGCGUUGCGCGAGAAGCACAAGAGGAGUAAGAAGAGAGUCAGCGGAAGGCAGCAAAGGCGAGCCCAGCACCGCGGCAGUCCAGUCGGGCCCGACCGCAGCACCGCACAGCAGCAGCAGCAGCAGCACCGCACGGCAGCAGCACCUCGACCAGCACCAUGAACGCCCUCCCCGCGGCCGCCCUGGCGGCGCUCGCCCUCGCCCUGCUCCUCGUCGUCCAGGCCGAGGCCGCCGACACCCCCUCGCCUACGGAGGUGGAGGUCUGUGGCGGUGAGUUACUGUCAACGCCAACCGCCA
Molecule: long non-coding RNA, 573 nt
Organism: Frankliniella occidentalis (western flower thrips)
Lineage: Eukaryota; Metazoa; Arthropoda; Insecta; Thysanoptera; Thripidae
Exons: 3
Source: RefSeq, a predicted model, not a curated record